GACGAACGCUGGCGGCGUGCUUAACACAUGCAAGUCGAGCGGUAAGGCCCUUUCGGGGGUACACGAGCGGCGAACGGGUGAGUAACACGUGGGUGACCUGCCCUUAGCUCUGGGAUAAGCCUGGGAAACUGGGUCUAAUACCGGAUAUGACUCCAUGACGCAUGUUGUGGGGUGGAAAGCCUUGCGCGGCUAGGGAUGGGCCCGCGGCCUAUCAGCUUGUUGGUGGGGUGAUGGCCUACCAAGGCGACGACGGGUAGCCGGCCUGAGAGGGCGACCGGCCACACUGGGACUGAGACACGGCCCAGACUCCUACGGGAGGCAGCAGUGGGGAAUCUUGCGCAAUGGGCGAAAGCCUGACGCAGCGACGCCGCGUGAGGGAUGACGGCCUGGUGUAACU
Molecule: ribosomal RNA, 397 nt
Filed under: uncultured bacterium
Lineage: Bacteria
Description: bacterial SSU rRNA
Rfam family: Bacterial small subunit ribosomal RNA
Source: RNAcentral